This 283-nucleotide unclassified non-coding RNA is filed under the name plant metagenome. RNAcentral describes it as "partial contains small subunit ribosomal RNA, internal transcribed spacer 1, and 5.8S ribosomal RNA". The stretch from base 235 to 283 matches the Rfam family "5.8S ribosomal RNA", at positions 1 to 49 of the family's 154-position model. The record is from RNAcentral.
UUUCCGUAGGUGAACCUGCGGAAGGAUCAUUAUUGUAUAACCGAGGUGCGAGGGCUGUCGCUGACCCGAAAGGUCGUGCACGCCCGAGUGCCCUCACACACAUCCAUCUCACCCCUAUGUGCACCACCGCGUGGGUCCCCCUUUGGCUUGUUCGGAGGGGGGCUUACGUUUUCACACAAACUUUGUAUGCAGUGUAGAAUGUAUUUUUUGUUUUUGCGAUCACGCAAUCAAUACAACUUUCAACAACGGAUCUCUUGGCUCUCGCAUCGAUGAAGAACGCAGU